GCUCCAGUGGUGCAAUUGGUGAGCACAUGGUACUUAUAAUACCAAGGUUGUGAGUUCAAGCCUCACCUGGAGCA
Alligator mississippiensis (American alligator) is the source of this 74-nucleotide non-coding RNA. The record is from the annotation of a RefSeq genome assembly. Lineage: Eukaryota; Metazoa; Chordata; Crocodylia; Alligatoridae.